RNAcentral lists this long non-coding RNA (405 nucleotides) under Drosophila melanogaster (fruit fly). RNAcentral describes it as "long non-coding RNA:CR45659 (Dmel_CR45659)". Lineage: Eukaryota; Metazoa; Arthropoda; Insecta; Diptera; Drosophilidae. The record is from RNAcentral.
AGCGGCAAAAACAAAACCGCAAGCACCAGCCGCAACGACAACGACAACAACAGCGACAACGCCGACGCCAGCGUAAUAGAGCAAUAGGCAGGCAGGUGGUGGGCGGUGGAGGGGCACCCUGUGCGGUUUAGGGCUGAAACACGGGUAGUAUUUGCAUAAUCUACAUCAAAACACAACACGCAUCCCCCACUCGGUGGGGCGGAUGCUGCUCACUGGGCUUUUGGGGGCUGCGCUUAGACUUAGACUGGACACCCACUGGCGCGCAGACACACACGCACACACAUACACACUCACUCAUGUUGAGGGGACUUUCCCUUUUGGCAGGAAAUCAGGAGAAUCAAGUGGCGAGCCAAAGUUGUAAAGUGCUACUAACUCAGGCAAAAUAAAACUUAUGCGACUAAACCG